UACGUAGGGGACAAGCGUUGUCCGGAUUUACUGGGCGUAAAGGGCACGCAGGCGGUUUUUUAAGUCAGAUGUGAAAGGUACCGGCUCAACCGGUGACAUGCAUUUGAAACUGAAAGACUUGAGUAUUGGAGAGGCAAGUGGAAUUCCUAGUGUAGCGGUGAAAUGCGUAGAUAUUAGGAGGAACACCGGUGGCGAAGGCGGCUUGCUGGACAAAUACUGACGCUGAGGUG
Molecule: ribosomal RNA, 230 nt
Filed under: uncultured microorganism
Description: partial 16S ribosomal RNA
Rfam family: Bacterial small subunit ribosomal RNA
Source: RNAcentral